GGAUAGCUCAGUUGGUUAGAACGUGAUGCUGAUAAUACCAAGGCUGUAGGUUUGAUCCCCAUAUGGGAUUCG
Molecule: transfer RNA, 72 nt
Filed under: Podarcis lilfordi (Lilford's wall lizard)
Lineage: Eukaryota; Metazoa; Chordata; Lepidosauria; Squamata; Lacertidae
Description: tRNA.Undet
Source: RNAcentral